This 238-nucleotide ribosomal RNA is filed under the name uncultured prokaryote. RNAcentral's name for it is "partial 16S ribosomal RNA". It matches the Rfam family "Bacterial small subunit ribosomal RNA", at positions 524 to 761 of the family's 1533-position model. The record is from RNAcentral.
UACGUAGGGUGCAAGCGUUAAUCGGAAUUACUGGGCGUAAAGCGUGCGCAGGCGGUUCGGAAAGAAAGAUGUGAAAUCCCAGAGCUUAACUUUGGAACUGCAUUUUUAACUACCGGGCUAGAGUGUGUCAGAGGGAGGUGGAAUUCCGCGUGUAGCAGUGAAAUGCGUAGAUAUGCGGAGGAACACCGAUGGCGAAGGCAGCCUCCUGGGAUAACACUGACGCUCAUGCACGAAAGCG